GACGAACGCUGGCGGCGUGCUUAACACAUGCAAGUCGAACGGUGAAGCGCCUUCCUUUUUGGUGGGUGUGGAUGAGUGGCGAACGGGUGAGUAACACGUGAGUAACCUGCCCCCUUCUUCUGGAUAACCGCAUGAAAGUGUGGCUAAUACGGGAUAUUCUGGGUCUGUCGCAUGAUGGGUCUGGGAAAGAUAUUGUUUCGGUGGGGGAUGGGCUCGCGGCCUAUCAGCUUGUUGGUGGGGUGAUGGCCUACCAAGGCGGUGGCGGGUAGCCGGCCUGGGAGGGUGGACGGUCACACUGGGACUGAGGCACGGCCCAGACUCCUACGGGAGGCAGCAGUGGGGAAUAUUGCACAAUGGGCGCAAGCCUGAUGCAGCGACGCCGCGUGAGGGAUGGAGGCCUUCGGGUUGUGAACCUCUUUCGCCAGUGAAGCAGGCCUGCCUCGUUUGUGGGUGGGUUGACGGUAGCUGGAUAAGAAGCGCCGGCUAACUACGUG
RNAcentral lists this ribosomal RNA (494 nucleotides) under uncultured bacterium. Its description in RNAcentral is "partial 16S ribosomal RNA". It matches the Rfam family "Bacterial small subunit ribosomal RNA", at positions 28 to 507 of the family's 1533-position model. The record is from RNAcentral.